UACGGAGGGUGCGAGCGUUGUCCGGAUUUAUUGGGCGUAAAGAGCGUGUAGGCGGCCAGACAGGUCUGCUGUGAAAACUCGAGGCUCAACCUCGAGACGCCGGUGGAAACCGUCUGGCUAGAGUCCGGAAGAGGAGAGUGGAAUUCCUGGUGUAGCGGUGAAAUGCGCAGAUAUCAGGAAGAACACCCGUGGCUAAGGCGGCUCUCUAGUACGGUACUGACGCUGAGACGCGAAAGCGUGGGGAGCGAACAGG
RNAcentral lists this ribosomal RNA (253 nucleotides) under uncultured bacterium. Its description in RNAcentral is "partial 16S ribosomal RNA". It matches the Rfam family "Bacterial small subunit ribosomal RNA", at positions 524 to 776 of the family's 1533-position model. The record is from RNAcentral.